This 482-nucleotide ribosomal RNA is filed under the name uncultured Bacillota bacterium. RNAcentral describes it as "bacterial SSU rRNA". It matches the Rfam family "Bacterial small subunit ribosomal RNA", at positions 355 to 824 of the family's 1533-position model. Lineage: Bacteria; Bacillati; Bacillota. The record is from RNAcentral.
UAGGGAAUCUUCCGCAAUAGGACGAAAGUCUGACGGAGCAAACGCCGCGUGAGCGAAGAAGGCCUUCGGGUCGUAAAAGCUCUGUUGUUAGGGAAGAACAAGUAUCGGAGUAACUGCCGGUACCUUGACGGUACCUAACCAGAAAGCCACGGCUAACUACGUGCCAGCAGCCGCGGUAAAUACGUAGGUGGCAAGCGUUGUCCGGAAUUAUUGGGCGUAAAGCGCGCGCAGGCGGUCCUUUAAAGUCUGAUGUGAAAGCCCACGGCUCAACCGUGGAGGGUCAUUGGAAACUGGGGGACUUGAGUGCAGAAGAGGAGAGUGGAAUUCCACGUGUAGCGGUGAAAUGCGUAGAGAUGUGGAGGAACACCAGUGGCGAAGGCGACGUCUCUGGUCUGUAACUGACGCUGAGGCGCGAAAGCGUGGGGAGCAAACAGGAUAGAUACCCUGGUAGUCCACGCCGUAAACGAUGAGUGCUAAGUGUU